This 253-nucleotide ribosomal RNA is filed under the name uncultured bacterium. RNAcentral's name for it is "partial 16S ribosomal RNA". It matches the Rfam family "Bacterial small subunit ribosomal RNA", at positions 524 to 776 of the family's 1533-position model. The record is from RNAcentral.
UACGUAGGUGGCGAGCGUUGUCCGGAUUUACUGGGCGUAAAGGGAGCGUAGGCGGACUUUUAAGUGAGAUGUGAAAUACUCGGGCUCAACUUGAGUGUUGCAUCUCAAACUGGAAGUCUAGAGUGCAGGAGAGGAGAAUGGAAUUCCUAGUGUAGCGGUGAAAUGCGUAGAGAUUAGGAAGAGCACCAGUGGCGAAGGCGAUUCUCUGGACUGUAACUGACGCUGAGGCUCGAAAGCGUGGGGAGCAAACAGG